AACGCUGGCGGCGUGUCUAACAAUGCAAGUCGAACGUCCUUCCUUUCUUUUUCGGAGGAGGGGGAGGGAGUGGCGGACGGGUGAGUAACACAUGGGUGACCUGGCCCGAAGUGAGGGAUACCGGUGAGAAAUUGCCGACAAGCCCGCAUAGGCUCUUUUCUGUGGUGAGGAGAGAGCAAAGCCUGAAAAGGUGCUUUGGGAUGGGCCUGUGGCCGAUUAGCUAGUUGGUGGGGUAAGAGCCUACCAAGGCGACGAUCGGUAGCUGGUCUGAGAGGACGAUCAGCCACACUGGGAUUGAGAACGGCCCAGACUCCUACGGGGGGCAGCAGUGAGGAAUUUUCGGCAAUGGGGGCAACCCUGACCGAGCAACGCCGCGUGCAGGAGGACGCUUUUCGGAGUGUAAACUGCUUUUUUUUGGGAAGAGCAAGGACGGUACCAGAGGAAGAAGCCCCGGCUAACUA
Molecule: ribosomal RNA, 461 nt
Filed under: uncultured bacterium
Lineage: Bacteria
Description: bacterial SSU rRNA
Rfam family: Bacterial small subunit ribosomal RNA
Source: RNAcentral